RNAcentral lists this long non-coding RNA (317 nucleotides) under Androctonus crassicauda. Lineage: Eukaryota; Metazoa; Arthropoda; Arachnida; Scorpiones; Buthidae. The record is from RNAcentral.
CGAUUAUGGAUGACUUUUGUAGUGAAGGCGAGAAGGAAAUUUGAAACUUGAUUCUCACUUUGAUCUUUCCUGCAAAUGUGCUUUGGAACUAAAUGCAGCUUUGGCAGAGAGAGAGAGAGAGGUAUAUCUAUAGAUCGCUCAAGGGUGGAUCCUUUGGAUAUUGCUUAUCUACCAGAGGCCGUGCAAAAAGUUCUAUUCAAGAACAACCUCUUUUGUGUACACCAACGAUAUUCAGUCGGGUCAAAAUGUAACAUUUUUCAGACAUACUUAAAUCACAUUAAAAUUUAAAGAAUUUUUUUUUUUUCUUCUUUCUUGGC